This 193-nucleotide ribosomal RNA is filed under the name uncultured bacterium. RNAcentral's name for it is "partial 16S ribosomal RNA". It matches the Rfam family "Bacterial small subunit ribosomal RNA", at positions 1308 to 1500 of the family's 1533-position model. The record is from RNAcentral.
CAACUCGCCUGCACGAAGUCGGAAUUGCUAGUAAUCGUAGGUCAGCAUACUACGGUGAAUACGUUCCCGGGCCUUGUACACACCGCCCGUCAAACCAUGAGAGUUGGCAACACCCGAAGUCGGUAGUCUAACCGCAAGGAGGACGCCGCCGAAGGUGGGGUUGAUGAUUAGGGUUAAGUCGUAACAAGGUAGC